This is a long non-coding RNA of Mesocricetus auratus (golden hamster), 836 nucleotides long. RefSeq lists it as uncharacterized. NCBI's taxonomy places the organism in Eukaryota, Metazoa, Chordata, Mammalia, Rodentia, Cricetidae. The record is from RefSeq and is a predicted model, not a curated record. The transcript has 4 exons.
AGCAGCUUUGUAUGGCGUUGGAGGCUCCGCGCCCACGGCCUGACAAAACGACUGGGUCCCGGGGCGAGCGAGGGUCGGCGCCGCGGAGGCGGGGAAGGGAGGGAGGGAUUGGACCCGGAACCUGGGACUUCGCCUCCUUACACCUGUCAGUGGCCACAGGCCACCGGGUUUCUAAAGCUGGCAGGAGAUGAAAGGUUGCGGUGGCGUGUCGGAAGGAGCGCCUGUUUCCUCGGCCUCUCCUCCGCCACAGUUCCUCAGGCCAUUCCGGCUCUCUCUGCCACGGGACCAAGACACCCCUGCUCCUGGAGCUGAGGACUGAAUCCAGGGCUUGUGCUUGGGUUUCUCUGUGGCUUUGGAGGCUGUCCUGGAACUAGCUCUUGCAGACCAGGCUGGCCUCGAACUCACAGAGAUCCGCCUGCCUCUGCCUCCCGAGUGCUGGGAUUAAAGGCAAGCGUGCACCACCACCGCCCGGCUCCAGGUAACAUAUUGGCAACCAAAGAUGCACACGUUCCAGGAAUAAGGCGGCUGGAGCACUACAAGAAUGGCAAGGCUGAUCUAGGGAUGCGCUGUGGACCCAGGCCAAGGGCUGCAGUCCCUACAAGUUCUGCGAACCACGUCAGGAUGUAGAAGCAAGCUUUCCUGGUAUAGCCCCUCCCUCAAAGGCUGUCGAGCGAGGCCCCACCCCCACUCCCCACCCCGCUGUGCUGGGCAAUGAAGAAAACAGGAGUGAGCAUGGAGCAGUGAUGUGGCUGGUUGGGGGGGGGGACUCCCCAUCCCAGAGGGGCUGACCUCAGCCUGGGAGGAAUGUGCACGAGGGAGGGAGGGACGGAGGGAAG